AUUGAACGCUAGCGGGAUGCCUUACACAUGCAAGUCGAACGGAGUGGCGAACGGGUGAGUAAUGUAUCGGAACGUGCCCAGUAGCGGGGGAUAACUACGCGAAAGCGUAGCUAAUACCGCAUACUAUUGGAGCGGCCGAUAUCGGAUUAGCUAGUUGGUGGGGUAACGGCUAACCAAGGCGACGAUCCGUAGCUGGUUUGAGAGGACGAUCAGCCACACUGGGACUGAGACACGGCCCAGACUCCUACGGGAGGCAGCAGUGGGGAAUUUUGGACAAUGGGGGAAAGCCUGACCCAGCCAUCCCGCGUGGGGGAUGAAGGCUUUAGGGUUGUAAAGCACUUUUGGCAGAGAAGCGGUACCUACAGAGUAAGCACCGGCUAACUACGUGCCAGCAGCCGCGGUAAUUC
This 407-nucleotide ribosomal RNA is filed under the name uncultured bacterium. RNAcentral's name for it is "partial 16S ribosomal RNA". It matches the Rfam family "Bacterial small subunit ribosomal RNA", at positions 30 to 526 of the family's 1533-position model. The record is from RNAcentral.